RNAcentral lists this transfer RNA (73 nucleotides) under Nitrospira sp. RNAcentral's name for it is "tRNA-Val". It matches the Rfam family "tRNA". Rfam says of the family: Transfer RNA (tRNA) molecules are approximately 80 nucleotides in length. RNAcentral also lists the same sequence under 1 other name. Lineage: Bacteria; Pseudomonadati; Nitrospirota; Nitrospiria; Nitrospirales; Nitrospiraceae. The record is from RNAcentral.
GUGCCGAUAGCUCAACGGAUAGAGCAUCGUUCCAACGAAGCGAGAGGUGCGGGUUCGAUUCCCGUUCGGCAUG